This 528-nucleotide ribosomal RNA is filed under the name Yarrowia lipolytica. Its description in RNAcentral is "partial large subunit ribosomal RNA". It matches the Rfam family "Eukaryotic large subunit ribosomal RNA", at positions 46 to 656 of the family's 3401-position model. The record is from RNAcentral. Lineage: Eukaryota; Fungi; Ascomycota; Dipodascomycetes; Dipodascales.
AAAAGCGGAGGAAAAGAAACCAACAGGGAUUGCCUCAGUAACGGCGAGUGAAGCGGCAAAAGCUCAAAUUUGAAACCCUCGGGAUUGUAAUUUGAAGAUUUGGCAUUGGAGAAAGCUAACCCAAGUUGCUUGGAAUAGUACGUCAUAGAGGGUGACAACCCCGUCUGGCUAACCGUUCUCCAUGUAUUGCCUUAUCAAAGAGUCGAGUUGUUUGGGAAUGCAGCUCAAAGUGGGUGGUAAACUCCAUCUAAAGCUAAAUACUGGUGAGAGACCGAUAGCGAACAAGUACUGUGAAGGAAAGGUGAAAAGAACUUUGAAAAGAGAGUGAAAUAGUAUGUGAAAUUGUUGAUAGGGAAGGAAAUGAGUGGAGAGUGGCCGAGGUUUCAGCCGCCCCUCGUGGGCGGUGUACUGCCGACGCCGAGUCAUCGAUAGCGAGACGAGGGUUACAAAUGGGAGCGCCUUCGGGCGUUCUCCCCUAACCCUCCACACUGCCACCGACGACAUAAUCCACCCAUUUCACCCGUCUUG